UUCGCCCUUAGAGUUUGAUCCUGGCUCAGGAUGAACGCUGGCGGCGUGCUUAACACAUGCAAGUCGAACGGACCCAUUCGAACGGAGAUUCGUCAAAGUUUGAUGAAGGUUAGUGGCGGACGGGUGAGUAACGCGUGGGUAACCUACCUUAUAGAGAGGGAUAACGAUUGGAAACGGUCGCUAAUACCUCAUAAGCCCACAGUACCGCAUGGUACAGGGGGAAAAGGAUUUAUCGCUAUAAGAUGGACCCGCGUUUGAUUAGCCAGUUGGCGGUGUAACGGACCACCAAAGCAACGAUCAAUAGCCGGACUGAGAGGUCGAACGGCCACAUUGGGACUGAGACACGGCCCAAACCCCUACGGGAGGCAGCAGUGGGGAAUAUUGCACAAUGGGGGAAACCCUGAUGCAGCGACGCCGCGUGAGUGAAGAAGUUUUUCGGAAUGUAAAGCUCUAUCAGCAGGGAAGCAAAUGACGGUACCUGACUAAGAAGAAAGCUCCGGCUAACUACGUGCCAGCAGCCGCGGUAAUACGUAGGGAGCGAGCGUUGUCCGGAUUUACUGGGUGUAAAGGGUGCGUAGGCGGCCCCGCAAGUCAGACGUGAAAGCCCCGGGCUCAACCCGGGAACUGCGUUUGAAACUGUGGGGCUUGAGUGAAGUAGAGGUAGGCGGAAUUCCCGGUGUAGCGGUGAAAUGCGUAGAGAUCGGGAGGAACACCAGUGGCGAAGGCGGCCUACUGGGCUUUAACUGACGCUGAGGCACGAAAGCGUGGGUAGCAAACAGGAUUAGAUACCCUGGUAGUCCAUGCUGUAAACGAUGAUUACUAGGUGUGGGGGGUCUGACCCCCUCCGUGCCGGAGUUAACACAAUAAGUAAUCCACCUGGGGAGUACGGCCGCAAGGCUGAAACUCAAAGGAAUUGACGGGGGCCCGCACAAGCAGUGGAGUAUGUGGUUUAAUUCGAAGCAACGCGAAGAACCUUACCAGGUCUUGACAUCCAACUAACGAAGUAGAGAUACAUUAGGUGCCUUUCGGGGAAAGUUGAGACAGGUGGUGCAUGGUUGUCGUCAGCUCGUGUCGUGAGAUGUUGGGUUAAGUCCCGCAACGAGCGCAACCCUUGUCAUUAGUUGCUACGCAAGAGCACUCUAGUGAGACUGCCGUUGACAAAACGGAGGAAGGUGGGGACGACGUCAAAUCAUCAUGCCCCUUAUGACCUGGGCUACACACGUAAUACAAUGGCCGUCAACAACGGGAAGCAAUACCGCGAGAUGGAGCAAAUCCCCAAAAACGGUCUCAGUUCGGAUUGCAGGCUGCAACUCGCCUGCAUGAAGUUGGAAUUGCUAGUAAUCGUGGAUCAGCAUGCCGCGGUGAAUACGUUCCCGGGCCUUGCACUCACCGCCCGUCA
Molecule: ribosomal RNA, 1399 nt
Filed under: uncultured bacterium
Lineage: Bacteria
Description: 16S ribosomal RNA
Rfam family: Bacterial small subunit ribosomal RNA
Source: RNAcentral